UGAUACAAGUGUCAAAAAUAUGAGUAAGUAGCCAUUUUUGCAAAAAAAUAAGCGGAUUACGAAUAUUUUUGCAAGGCUUGCAUUAAGCGUAGCUAUAGCAAGCCUGUAUCA
Molecule: small RNA, 111 nt
Filed under: Catonella morbi ATCC 51271
Lineage: Bacteria; Bacillati; Bacillota; Clostridia; Lachnospirales; Lachnospiraceae
Description: Clostridiales-1 RNA
Source: Rfam by way of RNAcentral